This is a non-coding RNA of Macaca mulatta (Rhesus monkey), 1829 nucleotides long. NCBI's taxonomy places the organism in Eukaryota, Metazoa, Chordata, Mammalia, Primates, Cercopithecidae. The record is from RefSeq and is a predicted model, not a curated record.
GCCAUCGGUCACACUGGGAUACUCGAGGAGGCGGCGCGGGGCCUCCAUUCAAUUCCCUAAGAGGGACCCGCGCUGGCCGCGGCAGGCGGGUGGAGAACGCGCGUGGGUCUGCUAACAGGAUAAACAGCGGACCAUACAGGCACGGUGAAAAUGGCAUUUGGUGACGUGGAGGACCCAGCUUGCCACCAUUGAGGCAGCUCUCCUCAGGUUCUUUUGUCUUGGUUAUCCCCGAGCUAUCUUCAGGAACCGACAGGCUACCCCACCCCACGCCCGGAAUGAAGGCCAGUAACUGGAGGCCAGGAAUAAUCAAGCACGCUCUCAUUGCAAGGAGGUGACGAUUGUGCCCGUUUAAAAGGGAUGCCUGAGACCAUGAGGAUUUGGAGUUUUGGAGGCGGAUCUGCCUUUGGGGAGUGAGCGUAGGGCCCUAAGAGGUGGUUGUGCUUUGAGACAGUUCCCGGGGCGAUGUGUCCCAUCAUCCAAACAUUGCAGCAGAAGUCAAAGUUACAGACUCUAGUUUACCUCCAGCUUUAACAUUACCAAAAUAUGGUAUUUGUCAAAAAACGUGUAGUAUCUGUAUAAUUUGAGAAUGUAAUUGAAGAACCCGAUAUAGAGUUUUUAGAAAGGGGAAACAGAAACCUUAAAAAGAAUCUUGCUUGGUUUAUUAAUACCAACAUCUAAAAUAUAACAAAAUUGAAGAAACCAAUGAGUUUUAUACUACGAUUGAAAUAAAAUGCCACUAUGUUCUUAAGAGUGCUAGUUUAACAGGAAAUCUCCAAAGCAUUAUUAUCCAGACUCAUCUCAAAGGUUCACUUUUCAUUUGCAUGAGCCCUUGCUAUUUGGAGGGUAGGAGGGUGCACCUCGUUCUGGUGGCUGCCACCUUGAUGAGGAGACACUCCUUGUUAACAGGAUGGUUAGCCCACGGCUUUUCUCAGCCCCAUUUUCCACACCCAGUAAAUUGUUUUAGUUUGUGGACCUCAGCUGCAGUUGCAAUCAUCAUCAAAUUCCAAUUUUGAAUUUAAAGGUGAAUAAUGAAUGCAAUGAACUUUCUAGAAUUUAUGAAGGGCAGUGAUGUUCCUUUUAUCUAAUACUUCUACCUGUGUAGCCUUUCAGCAUGCUAUUUUGUGGACUGAAUUUACAAAUUGUCAUUUGUUUAAUGAACUGUAAAUAUAACAUGAUGACUAAUUGAGAACACAUACAAUUUGCUGGUAUUCCAGAAGUCUAUGGAUUUUGUUGUUUUGUUUAUAUAAAAGGCAUUAAAAGCAGCUGCUUAGUAUAAUUACCUUCUUUACUCCGCAUAGGGUAGAGGUGAAAAAACCUUCUUAAGCUUAAUUUGGCAAUUUAUGUAACCUUUUGUUUUUGGAAUACAGACAGUUUUCUUCCCCUUUACAUUCCUGUUCUUUAGAGAGCUUAAAUCCUAAGUUUCCGACUUGUGAUUUAAACUCCACAUGAGAUAACAGGUUGGAAUUUUAUCUUUAAUAAUUUUAUUUACAACUCAAAAGUUUUAAGUUUCAAAACAUUUAGUCAUAGUAACUCCUAUAAUAGUGUUUAUUUAAUCCAUCUUGGAGAUUUUCUAUUUCUGUAUCAUUGAUAUAUUUAACUAUCCAUUUGACUGUUAAUGACUAAAAAAGGGGGAAACAUUAACUUUACUGCAAUCAGGAAAACUCUUUCAAACUGUUAUACAAAAGAAAAUAUAUGGUGUAUGAACACCCAUGUAUUUUUAAAUAGUAAAUAACAGGUAAACCAAAGCUCAGAUAAAAUACAACUUUUAAAUAUAUAUAUAUAAUUAAUUGUUAGUGAACUGGCUAAAAUAAAGAUACAGGUUGGCUUUU